RNAcentral lists this transfer RNA (35 nucleotides) under Peperomia verschaffeltii. RNAcentral's name for it is "partial tRNA-Lys". Lineage: Eukaryota; Viridiplantae; Streptophyta; Magnoliopsida; Piperales; Piperaceae. The record is from RNAcentral.
CCGAAUAGUUCCGGGUUCAAGUCCCGGGCAACCCA